This 2782-nucleotide long non-coding RNA is filed under the name Nicotiana tabacum (common tobacco). RNAcentral's name for it is "long non-coding RNA (NTAB_LNC011877)". The record is from RNAcentral. Lineage: Eukaryota; Viridiplantae; Streptophyta; Magnoliopsida; Solanales; Solanaceae.
AGUCAUGCUCAAACUCCGGUAAGUAGACCCACACCUGUAUGAGAAAAUUAAGACCAAAUAAAGUUAAAGACCUAGAACACUAUGUGAGAUAAUAACCCUUCCUGUUGGACACAUGCAAGACAUGAUUGUGACUAUUUUUCUAAAAUUAACCUAUGUGGCUAAAAGUGGCUAAAAAUGCAAGAUUUGGCUAAGACCCCGCGAAACCAUGAACCUAAGACUCACUAGGAAGACCGGAAAUUAUGUGGGUUUCCUACGUAUCACGCCCCAAAAGACGAGAAUCAUGUAUCCGUAGUUCGGGCAAAUUGGAUACGGGCAAGAAUUGAAAAAAUAACUAAUUUAGAAAAAAAAAUAUUUUUUUUCUGAAAAAAUGAUGAAACAUGUAAACUCUUUUUGGAUUUUCUUUUCCUUUUUUUGAUUUUUUUGAUUUUCAGAAAAUGAUGAAAAAGUUCCAAAAAAAAUUGAAUUUUUCAUUUUUUUUUCUUUUCUUAACCAAAAUGUGAAAGAAAAACAUAAUUGGGCCUUACUUGCUUUAUUUUCACACUUCACCAUCUCUUUUUCCUUUUUUUUCAUUUGCCCUCAACUAUCAUUGGUCCACCAAAUGACACUUUUACCCUUGAAGAAAUGCAACAUGUAGCACAUAGGAUGCAUCAAGAUGGUCCGUUAUUUUGGGUACACCUGUCCUAGACGGACCCAACCCCUAUGUUGAGUCCCAUAAGUCAAAUGCACAUGAUGCAAACAAACAUUCCUACUAGGGAUCCGGCAUGAGGCUAUGUUAUUCUAGGUUUAAAAACCUGGAUUUAUUUGUUCUAGGCCUGGCUUACUCGAGCGGACAGCUCGAGACGAGGGGAGGCAGCGUACCGGGAAUACAGAAGCUUCACCGACUUUGCAACUUGUCCAAAGAUCGUGCUAAAAUUGGGAUAUGACUCUAACAGAAGAGAAGUCACACGAAGUGCACAUUUCCCAGUUGAUUUAGAAGACUCAGAGAGAAAAGGGUAUCGUAACAGUUUUUAUAUACAGUUUAAUUAAUAUCAAAGCGGUAAAAAAACGACAUUUAGCAUAUUAGGCCCAAACACGCAAAAAUCAGACAAUCAUGAAAGCCAAGUAUAGCAGUUAUUCUAAGCUCGAAUUCAAACCCUGAACCAGAAGUUCUGGAUUUUUAUCCCCAGCAGAGUCACCGGAGUUGUCACACCUCCUUUUUCACACCCCGGGGAGGGUAUAAGGGAGUUUUUUCCAAUUUAAGUGACAAUCGAAAUGGGAUUAUUUAUUUAAAAUUCAGAGUCGCCACUUGGGAUAAUUUAUGGUGUCCCAAGUCACCGGUUUAAAAUUUUGAAUCGUGAAAAGUUUGACUCUGUUUUACAGUUCGCGAACACAGAAAUCCGGGUAAGGAAUUCUGUUAACCCGGGAAAAGAUGUUAGGCAUUUCCGGGUUCCGUGGUUUUAGCACGGUCGCUCAACUAUUAUUAUUGGCCUAAUUAUCUGAUUUUUUACACGUUUUAAACCUAUUGUGCAUUUUUAACUUUUUAGUCACUUUUAAUAUUUCGAAAAAAUUCAAGGUUAUUUAAAAUACGUCGUAAGUCACGCUAUAUAAAAUGCACUCGUGGUUCACGACACGUUCUAUUUAACCUUUUUGGAAAUUAGAAUCGGGUCACAUAAAAUGCACACCCGGAUUUACCAUGUUUAUUUUAUUACUAUUCCAAGUUGUGGUCAGGUCAUAUGAAAUGCACACCCGGAUGAGAUUUACGUAUCGUGACCAUGUCACGGGAACCGUACCCAUAGCCACGAUAAUUUAUUAAUCUCACAUUAAUAAUCAUAAAGUAGACAAUGACUAAUUUUAUUAAUUGUCUACAACAAUUCAGUACUAUACUCAUGAUUCCUCAUUUCUGGCAUAAGAGACAAAAGGUAAUCUUUUUAAUUCCCUAAUUCUAUAUAUUAGUUAGAUCUUGGUUGAAAUUUAGCAUUAACAAUGAACAAGAGAUUCCUACGGCAAGCAAAAACAUUGACGCGAAGAGUAUACAAAGCAUUCUCCAAUAUACACAACUGGUUCAAUAUUGCAAGAAGAAAACACUUUAGCAAUGAAAUCAACGAAUUUGCAAAGGAAUACAUUUGAGACUGAUCAAUGCUGUAGCAGAUAUCAUAAAAUCAUGAAACACAAGCUCAUCCUAAAAUACUAGUGUAGCAGUUACAACCACUUAAAAUCAAAUCAAACUGUUAAUUAAAGUGUGAAAAAAAAUAAAUAGAUCAAUGAACACAGAAAUUCUUACGAGCACGCAUAUGCCGAAACAGAUCCGGAACACUGGAAUAGAACUCCUCGCCGGACAAAUAGGAACUUCGACGGAAAACCAACUGGAUUCUAUCGGAAUUUGAAUGAGACAAUAAUGAAACGAACCAUGUGACUAGAACCUCGGUCGAACCUAACUCGCAGAUAUUGUCCCUUUCUCGUUUCUAUGCGUGUGCGUGUAUGGCUGCUGGUUCGUUUUCCGGCGAGCUCGCCAGGCAUCGUCGAGGUGGUCGCUGGUUAAGAGUGUGGUGGUGACGGAAUUUCUAGGGUUUAGCUCCUAGGUUCAGUGGGUGGUCGUUGAAGAAGGGAUGAAGAAAGAGUCGAUGGGGGUCAUAGAAAGUCAGUGAUGGCUUUGAGACGAGAUAAAGAAACAAGCCGCUGGAAAUAUAUUUGGUCUCUUUGUUCGCUCCUUAGGUCCUUUUGAUGAAGAAGAUGACUGAAACCAUUUUUGUCUUCUCUCAAGUCAAAAAACGGCAGAUUGUAUCCCUAUAGGUCUAGGUCUUAG